Molecule: ribosomal RNA, 840 nt
Filed under: uncultured bacterium
Lineage: Bacteria
Description: bacterial SSU rRNA
Rfam family: Bacterial small subunit ribosomal RNA
Source: RNAcentral
AGUCGAGUGCGCGUCCGUAGCAAUACGGAUGGCGCACGGCGCACGGGUGCGUAACACGUGGGCAAUCUGCCCUCAGAUGGGGGAUAACCCCGCGAAAGCGGGGCUAAUACCGCAUGACAUUCCGAAGACUCCGGUCUUUGGACUCAAAGGCCGCAAGGCCGUCAGAGGAGGAGCCCGCGCCCGAUUAGCUAGUUGGUGAGGUAACGGCUCACCAAGGCUUUGAUCGGUAGCCGGUCUGAGAGGAUGGCCGGCCACACUGGAACUGAGACACGGUCCAGACUCCUACGGGAGGCAGCAGUGGGGAAUAUUGCGCAAUGGGCGAAAGCCUGACGCAGCGACGCCGCGUGGGGGAUGAAGCUUCUCGGAGUGUAAACCCCUUUCGACCCGGACGAAUGACCCGCAAGGGUUUGACGGUACGGGUAUAAGAAGCCCCGGCUAACUACGUGCCAGCAGCCGCGGUAAUACGUAGGGGGCCAGCGUUGCUCGGAAUUACUGGGCGUAAAGGGUUCGUAGGUGGUGCGGCAAGUUGGAAGUGAAAUCUCUGGGCUUAACCCAGAGGCUGCUUUCAAAACUGCCGCGCUCGAGUGCGGGAGAGGCCAGUGGAAUUGCAGGUGUAGCGGUGAAAUGCGUAGAUAUCUGCAGGAACACCCGUGGCGAAGGCGGCUGGCUGGACCGCAACUGACACUGAGGAACGAAAGCUAGGGGAGCAAACAGGAUUAGAUACCCUGGUAGUCCUAGCCCUAAACCAUCAGAACUUGGGGUGGCCCGCGUAGCGGGUCGUCCCGUAGCUAACGCGUUAAGUUCUGCGCCUGGGUAGUACGGUCGCAGACUGAAACUCAA